This 870-nucleotide unclassified non-coding RNA is filed under the name Octopus sinensis (East Asian common octopus). Its description in RNAcentral is "uncharacterized LOC115223036, transcript variant X2". Lineage: Eukaryota; Metazoa; Mollusca; Cephalopoda; Octopoda; Octopodidae. The record is from RNAcentral.
CACAGACACACACACACUCUCUUACACACACACACACACACACACACACACGCGCGCGCGCGCAUUCUCGGUUUUCGUUUGAUCCAAAUUGACACUCGUGUGUACACACGCACACACACAGACACUUAGAAAUGCAGACACGUACACACGCACACACAAAUACUCACUCAUUCUUUUACCCCCACCCCCACAUGUGGAUUAAAAAAAAAAAAAUUAUCCAAACUGUUUUAAUCGUAAUUAACGUGGAUGUUGCAACGAAUAUCAAAGUCCAAGAUACUGUUGUUGUAUUUUGUAUUAUUCAGACAUCGUUUUCUCCUGGUAACAAAGGAUUGUGCUUAAAUAACAAACACAGUGAUGUUUCGGUCGAUGACGCAUGGGAAAUACAUAACAAAAAAACAUAUAUGUAUAUAUAUUUAUGUAUAUAUAAUCAACCAUAGAGUUAAACCAGUGCAUCGGUUAAUAUUGGCAUAAUGACUCUCUACAGACACAACAAAAUGAUAAACUUACGAAGCUCGUGGGACAAUGGAAUGAGGGCAAGACAGAAGAAGAAAGGUGUUAUAUCCUUAUGGAUAAACGAAUAUACUGCAACAGUGUAAUGACAACAUAAUCGAAACAAACGGCAGUAAACACACGGAACAACAAUCUCUCCAGAACCGACAAUCCAACGCGCUAACUCGAACUGUAAAUUUUGAACUUCAACUUUGAACUAUGAACACACAAACUGUGGAAUUAGCACGAACUACCUCACUUUCUCAGACCGCUAUUAUUUAUAUGUUGUGGUACAGUCCAUUCUCGCCAGGGGCCGUCGUACUCUCGCACAACAUCUACCCUUUUGAGAUUUCGUGUUCCAAAGGAAUAAAGAAAUUUUUU